GGCAACUUGCCCCAAAAGGGGGUGUUACUUUUGAAAGAUCUCAUCACAACAGUCAUUGCACCAAUUUUUGUUGGGCUAGUCAUUGAACUAGUUUCUCAUUGGUUAGACGAGAAAGAUAAUGACUAACAAGUUGCCACUAACCACACCUUUGUUUUUGUAGCUGCAACAAAAACAA
Molecule: non-coding RNA, 175 nt
Filed under: Enterococcus canis
Lineage: Bacteria; Bacillati; Bacillota; Bacilli; Lactobacillales; Enterococcaceae
Description: Enterococcus sRNA B11
Rfam family: Enterococcus sRNA B11
About the family: Name 'Ref' stands for RNA in E. faecalis.
Source: Rfam by way of RNAcentral